Molecule: ribosomal RNA, 1372 nt
Filed under: uncultured bacterium
Lineage: Bacteria
Description: bacterial SSU rRNA
Rfam family: Bacterial small subunit ribosomal RNA
Source: RNAcentral
GAUGAACGCUGGCGGCGUGCCUAAUACAUGCAAGUCGAGCGAACGGACGAGAAGCUUGCUUUUCUGAUGUUAGCGGCGGACGGGUGAGUAACACGUGGAUAACCUACCUAUAAGACUGGGAUAACUUCGGGAAACCGGAGCUAAUACCGGAUAAUAUUUUGAACCGCAUGGUUCAAAAGUGAAAGACGGUCUUGCUGUCACUCAUAGAUGGAUCCGCGCUGCAUUAGCUAGUUGGUAAGGUAACGGCUUACCAAGGCAACGAUGCAUAGCCGACCUGAGAGGGUGAUCGGCCACACUGGAACUGAGACGCGGUCCAGACUCCUACGGGAGGCAGCAGUAGGGAAUCUUCCGCAAUGGGCGAAAGCCUGACGGAGCAACGCCGCGUGAGUGAUGAAGGUCUUCGGAUCGUAAAACUCUGUUAUUAGGGAAGAACAUAUGUGUAAGUAACUGUGCACAUCUUGACGGUACCUAAUCAGAAAGCCACGGCUAACUACGUGCCAGCAGCCGCGGUAAUACGUAGGUGGCAAGCGUUAUCCGGAAUUAUUGGGCGUAAAGCGCGCGUAGGCGGUUUUUUAAGUCUGAUGUGAAAGCCCACGGCUCAACCGUGGAGGGUCAUUGGAAACUGGAAAACUUGAGUGCAGAAGAGGAAAGUGGAAUUCCAUGUGUAGCGGUGAAAUGCGCAGAGAUGUGGAGGAACACCAGUGGCGAAGGCGACUUUCUGGUCUGUAACUGACGCUGAUGUGCGAAAGCGUGGGGAUCAAACAGGAUUAGAUACCCUGGUAGUCCACGCCGUAAACGAUGAGUGCUAAGUGUUAGGGGGUUUCCGCCCCUUAGUGCUGCAGCUAACGCAUUAAGCACUCCGCCUGGGGAGUACGACCGCAAGGUUGAAACUCAAAGGAAUUGACGGGGGCCCGCACAAGCGGUGGAGCAUGUGGUUUAAUUCGAAGCAACGCGAAGAACCUUACCAAAUCUUGACAUCCUUUGACAACUCUAGAGAUAGAGCCUUCCCCUUCGGGGGACAAAGUGACAGGUGGUGCAUGGUUGUCGUCAGCUCGUGUCGUGAGAUGUUGGGUUAAGUCCCGCAACGAGCGCAACCCUUAAGCUUAGUUGCCAUCAUUAAGUUGGGCACUCUAAGUUGACUGCCGGUGACAAACCGGAGGAAGGUGGGGAUGACGUCAAAUCAUCAUGCCCCUUAUGAUUUGGGCUACACACGUGCUACAAUGGACAAUACAAAGGGCAGCGAAACCGCGAGGUCAAGCGAAUCCCAUAAAGUUGUUCUCAGUUCGGAUUGUAGUCUGCAACUCGACUACAUGAAGCUGGAAUCGCUAGUAAUCGUAGAUCAGCAUGCUACGGUGAAUACGUUCCCGGGUCU